UUUUGUCUCUGGUGUCAGAGCUGAUUUAGUGCUGGGUAAGAGCAACUGAAGUUGUCUUUACGUGGCCAAAGACUGCCAUAGGGUAAACUGCAUCCAUCCUUUUACUUCUGCCAGUGGACAAACAGGUUCCAUGUGGAAGUUUCUAGGAAAAUACAAGACAAGUACUUUUCAAAGGAAUGUACUUGCACUAUAAAGGCUCUUAAUUUCUAUUUGUUAUGACAGGGAUAUUUUUACAUACUCAGAAGGCAAGUGUAUGAUAAUUAGUUUAAAAGGUACCAGCUAUCAAGUAAUUUUUUCUUUGCCUUCUUAAUAAGUGUUGCAGUUUUUCCUAUGAUUCUUUCUCUAGCCUGUACUAUGACAGAAGACCCGUACCAGCACGCUCCUGGAGGGAAUUUCACCAUCUAACCGCUGCCCUGUUGUGAUGUGACAAGGUUGCAUUUACCACUGUAAAUCAAUGAAAUGAAGACAUGCUCAGCGUGGUUCAGGUUCCUGAUGCUCAAGCAUACCCCAGUCCCUUCGGCUGCAGCGAUUAUAUAAUGAUUAUUAUCAACAAGGCUCAAGGUAAUUUAGCAACAGAACAAGAUACUCCAAGCUCCUGAUAACUGCUGUUAGGAGGAUAAUUUCAUCCCAGG
This 632-nucleotide long non-coding RNA is filed under the name Anser brachyrhynchus (Pink-footed goose). Its description in RNAcentral is "lncRNA (ENSABRG00000015800.1)". Lineage: Eukaryota; Metazoa; Chordata; Aves; Anseriformes; Anatidae. The record is from RNAcentral.